RNAcentral lists this ribosomal RNA (1907 nucleotides) under microbial mat metagenome. RNAcentral describes it as "bacterial LSU rRNA". It matches the Rfam family "Bacterial large subunit ribosomal RNA", at positions 1196 to 2925 of the family's 2925-position model. The record is from RNAcentral.
GCAACAAGCCAUCGGCAGUAAAGAUGAGACCAUAUUGUGGCUUCGCUUUGCCGGUGAUUUGAAGUAUCUUACAGAUGCUCAAUCAUGGAUAGCGGCUUAUGAAGAAAUAGGACGCAUGCUUUACGGUUUGCAGCAAUCGCGAAAAACCUGAUCCCUAAUUUUGUGCGCUUAGAAAAAACUCAACAACUCUUUUAUAUCUUGCCUCUUGCAUCUUGUCACUUGUCUCUUGAUGGUAGGGGAGCAUUCCGUAGGCCGUCGAAGCAGUAUCGCGAGGUAUUGUGGAGGUAUCGGAAAAGCAGAUGCUGGCAUUAGUAGCGAUAAUUCUGGUGAGAAUCCAGGACGCCGUAAGCCUAAGGAUUCCUGGGUAAAGUUCGUCUGCUCAGGGUAAGUCGGCCCCUAAGGAGAGGCCGCAAGGCGUAUCUGAUGGGAAACAGGUAAAGAUUCCUGUACCAUUUUUAUGGUGUUUGAGUGAUGUGGGGACGCAGGACUGAAAGGUGUGCCACGUGUUGGAUCGUGGUUGAAGGCGCCGGCCGGUGGAAGUAGGAAAAUCCGCUUCUGCAACGGUUAACGCCGAUAGUACACCAAUCCUUCGGGAGCGGUGAUAAUCACCCUAAAGACUGCCAGGAAAAGCCACUAAACGAAUCAUAGAAGUGCCCGUACCGCAAACCGACACAGGUAGGCGAGGAGAGUAUCCUCAGGCGCGCGAGUGAUGCCUCGUUAAGGAACUCGGCAAAAUGACCCCGUACGUUCGCAAGAAGGGGUGCCCCUUAUGGGGGCCGCAGUGAAGAGGCCCAAGCGACUGUUUAGCAAAAACACAUGUCUAUGCGAAGUCGAAAGACGCCGUAUAUGGACUGACACCUGCCCGGUGCUGGAAGGUUAAGAGGGGAUGUUAUCUUCGGAGAAGCAUUGAAUCGAAGCCCCAGUAAACGGCGGCCGUAACUAUAACGGUCCUAAGGUAGCGAAAUUCCUUGUCGGGUAAGUUCCGACCUGCACGAAUGGUGUAACGACUUGGGCACUGUCUCAACGAGGCGCUCGGCGAAGUUGAGAUGCCGGUGAAGACGCCGGCUUCCCGCAACGGGACGGAAAGACCCCGUGAACCUUUACUGCACCCUGACAUUGGUUUUGGGCUUAGCAUGUGUAGGAUAGGUGGGAGACUAUGAAGUGUGUGCGCUAGCAUGCACUGAGUCAUUGUUGAAAUACCACCCUUGUUAUGUUUAAAAUCUAACGGGCUGAUGUGGAGUCAGCCGGACAGUGUCAGGCGGGUAGUUUGACUGGGGCGGUCGCCUCCUAAAAGGUAACGGAGGCACCCAAAGGUUCCCUCAGCACGGUUGGUAAUCGUGCGCAGAGCGUAAACGUAGAAGGGAGCUUGACUGCGAGACCGACGGGUCGAGCAGGUGCGAAAGCAGGGGUUAGUGAUCCGGCGGCACUGAGUGGAAGGGCCGUCGCUCAAUGGAUAAAAGGUACUCCGGGGAUAACAGGCUGAUCCCGCCCAAGAGUUCACAUCGACGGCGGGGUUUGGCACCUCGAUGUCGGCUCAUCGCAUCCUGGGGCUGGAGAAGGUCCCAAGGGUUUGGCUGUUCGCCAAUUAAAGCGGUACGCGAGCUGGGUUCAGAACGUCGUGAGACAGUUCGGUCCCUAUCUGUUGCGGGCGUAGGAAGUUUGAGGGGCUCUGCUCUUAGUACGAGAGGACCGGAGUGGAGAAGCCUCUGGUGUACCGGUUGUGCCGCCAGGCGCAUCGCCGGGUAGCCACGCUUCGUGGGAUAAGCGCUGAAAGCAUCUAAGUGCGAAACCCAACCCAAGAUGAGACUUCCCUAAAGGCCCCUGGGAGAUGACCAGGUGAUAGGCUGCAGGUGUAAGUGUAGUAAUACAUUCAGCCGAGCAGUACUAAUUGGCCGUUCGUCUUGACC